RNAcentral lists this ribosomal RNA (404 nucleotides) under uncultured bacterium. RNAcentral describes it as "bacterial SSU rRNA". It matches the Rfam family "Bacterial small subunit ribosomal RNA", at positions 362 to 758 of the family's 1533-position model. The record is from RNAcentral.
UAUUGGACAAUGGGGGCAACCCUGAUCCAGCAAUGCCGCGUGUGUGAAGAAGGCCUGCGGGUUGUAAAGCACUUUAGUUGGCGAGGAAGUUAUUCGUUUAAAUAGAGCGGAUAGUUGACGUUACCCAAAGAAUAAGCACCGGCUAACUCUGUGCCAGCAGCCGCGGUAAUACAGAGGGUGCGAGCGUUAAUCGGAAUUACUGGGCGUAAAGCGUGCGCAGGCGGUUUCGUAAGCUGGAGGUGAAAUCCCCGGGCUUAACCUGGGAAUGGCCUACAGGACUGCGAGGCUAGAGUGCGGCAGAGGGAGGUGGAAUUCCACGUGUAGCAGUGAAAUGCGUAGAGAUGUGGAGGAACACCGAUGGCGAAGGCAGCCUCCUGGGCCAGCACUGACGCUCAUGCACGAAG